AUACGGAGGGUGCAAGCGUUAAUCGGAAUUACUGGGCGUAAAGCGCACGCAGGCGGUUUGUUAAGUCAGAUGUGAAAUCCCCGGGCUCAACCUGGGAACUGCAUCUGAUACUGGCAAGCUUGAGUCUCGUAGAGGGGGGUAGAAUUCCAGGUGUAGCGGUGAAAUGCGUAGAGAUCUGGAGGAAUACCGGUGGCGAAGGCGGCCCCCGGGACGAAGACUGACGCUCAGGUGCGAAAGCGUGGGGAGCAAAAAGGAUUAGAUACCCUGGUAGUCCACGCCGUAAACGAUGUCGACUUGGAGGUUGUGCCCUUGAGGCGUGGCUUCCGGAGCUAACGCGUUAAGUCGACCGCCUGGGGAGUACGGCCGCAAGGUUAAAACUCAAAUGAAUUGGCGGGG
This 396-nucleotide ribosomal RNA is filed under the name uncultured bacterium. Its description in RNAcentral is "partial 16S ribosomal RNA". It matches the Rfam family "Bacterial small subunit ribosomal RNA", at positions 523 to 918 of the family's 1533-position model. The record is from RNAcentral.